This 301-nucleotide ribosomal RNA is filed under the name uncultured bacterium. Its description in RNAcentral is "partial 16S ribosomal RNA". It matches the Rfam family "Bacterial small subunit ribosomal RNA", at positions 509 to 807 of the family's 1533-position model. The record is from RNAcentral.
CAGCAGCCGCGGUAAUACAGAGGGUGCGAGCGUUAAUCGGAUUUACUGGGCGUAAAGCGUGCGUAGGCGGCUUCUUAAGUCGGAUGUGAAAUCCCUGAGCUUAACUUAGGAAUUGCAUUCGAUACUGGGAAGCUAGAGUAUGGGAGAGGAUGGUAGAAUUCCAGGUGUAGCGGUGAAAUGCGUAGAGAUCUGGAGGAAUACCGAUGGCGAAGGCAGCCAUCUGGCCUAAUACUGACGCUGAGGUACGAAAGCAUGGGGAGCAAACAGGAUUAAAUACCCCCGUAGUCCCUGUCUCUUAUAC